GACGUAGGGCGCGAGCGUUGUCCGGAUUUAUUGGGCGUAAAGAGCUCGUAGGCGGCUUGUUGCGUCGUCCGUGAAAACCUGUGGCUCAACUACAGGCUUGCGGUCGAUACGGGCGGGCUGGAGUUCGGUAGGGGAGGACUGGAAUUCCUGGUGUGAGACGGUGGAAAUGCGCAGAUAUCAGGAGGAACACCGGUGGCGAAGGCGGGAUCCUGGGCCAGUACUGACGCUGAGGAGCGAAAGCGUGGGAGCA
This 250-nucleotide ribosomal RNA is filed under the name uncultured bacterium. RNAcentral's name for it is "partial 16S ribosomal RNA". It matches the Rfam family "Bacterial small subunit ribosomal RNA", at positions 524 to 770 of the family's 1533-position model. The record is from RNAcentral.